Podarcis lilfordi (Lilford's wall lizard) is the source of this 88-nucleotide non-coding RNA. The record is from the annotation of a GenBank genome assembly. Lineage: Eukaryota; Metazoa; Chordata; Lepidosauria; Squamata; Lacertidae.
GCCACUGGCCUACGACUACCCCGGUGACUGUUGGUAGAGCAUGAGACUCUCGAUCCCAAGGUCAUGGGUUCGAAACCCAGGUUGGGCA